RNAcentral lists this ribosomal RNA (811 nucleotides) under uncultured bacterium. RNAcentral's name for it is "bacterial SSU rRNA". It matches the Rfam family "Bacterial small subunit ribosomal RNA", at positions 8 to 796 of the family's 1533-position model. The record is from RNAcentral.
AGAGUUUGAUCAUGGCUCAGAACGAACGCUGGCGGCGUGGAUAAGACAUGCAAGUCGGACGGGACUUUCUGUGGUAGCAAUACGACGGAAAGUUCAGUGGCGAUCGGGUGCGUAACACGUGGGCAAUUUGCCUUAAAGUGUGGAAUAGCUCGGCGAAAGCCGAAUUAAUACCGCAUGUGGCUACUGGAGACAUCUUCGGGACGCUAAAGGUGGCGCAAGCUACCGCUUUUUUGAGGAGCCCGCGGCCUAUCAGCUUGUUGGUGAGGUAACGGCUCACCAAGGCGUUGACGGGUAGCUGGUCUGAGAGGACGACCAGCCACACUGGGACUGAGACACGGCCCAGACACCUACGGGUGGCAGCAGUCGAGAAUUUUUGACAAUGGGGGAAACCCUGAUCGAGCGACGCCGCGUGGAGGAUGAAGGUCUUCGGGUUGUAAACUCCUGUCAUUUGGGAACAAGGCGCGUGUAUCAACUGUACGUGCGUUGAUAGUACCAGAAGAGGAAGAGACGGCUAACUCUGUGCCAGCAGCCGCGGUAAUACAGAGGUCUCAAGCGUUGUUCGGAUUCAUUGGGCGUAAAGGGUGUGUAGGUGGCGCGCUAAGUCGGGUGUGAAAUUUCGGAGCUUAACUCCGAAACUGCAUUCGAUACUGGCGUGCUUGAGGACUGGAGAGGAGACUGGAAUUUACGGUGUAGCAGUGAAAUGCGUAGAUAUCGUAAGGAAGACCAGUGGCGAAGGCGGGUCUCUGGACAGUUCCUGACACUGAGACACGAAGGCCAGGGGAGCAAACGGGAUUAGAUACCCCAGUAGUCC